This 964-nucleotide long non-coding RNA is filed under the name Citrus x clementina. RNAcentral's name for it is "Citrus clementina (C. clementina) long non-coding RNA (CCLE_LNC005910)". The record is from RNAcentral. Lineage: Eukaryota; Viridiplantae; Streptophyta; Magnoliopsida; Sapindales; Rutaceae.
AACUUGGCGCCCCGGCCUUCGGGCGGUUAUUUUUGCACGCGGCUUCGCCCGCGGCCUAUAUUUGGCACACGGAGGUGCCUCGCAAAGUCUCGCGCCAUUCAGAGUCCGGCGGACGAAGUUGACCACCCCCACCCCCCAAGGCUAUAGCCCACCCGUUUUUGUGGCCUUUUUCCACUGGACGAACUUGGCGCCCUGGGUUUCGGGCGUUUAUUUUUGGGCGGGGCUGUGCCCGCGGCCUAUUUUUGGCACACGGAGGCACCUCGCAAAGUCUCGCGCCAUUCAGAGUCCGGCGGACGAAGUUGGCCAGCCCCACCCCCCAAGGCUAUUGCCCACCCGUUUUUGUGGCCUUUUUCCGCUGGAGGAACUUGGCGCCCCGGCCUUCGGGCAGUUAUUUUAGGGCACGGCUGUAUCCGCGGCCUAUUUUUGGCACACGGAGGUGCCUCGCAAAGUCUCGCGCCAUUCCGAGUCCGGGGGACGAAGUUGAACAGCCCCACCCCCCAAGGCUAUAGCCCACCCGUUUUUGUGGCCUUUAUCCGCUGGACGAACUUGGCGCCCCAGCCUUCGGGCGGUUAUUUUUGGGCGCGGCUGUCUACGCGGCCUAUUUUUGGCACACGGAGGUGCCUCGCAAAGUCUCGCGCCAUUCCGAGUCCGGCGGACGAAGUUGACCAGCCCCACCCCCCAAGGCUAAAGCCCACCCGUUUUUGUGGCCUUUUUCCGCUGGACGAACUUGGCGCCCCGGCCUUCGGGCGUUUAUUUUUGUUUGCGGCUGUGGCAGCGGCCUAUUUUUGGCACACGGAGGCGCCUCGCAAAGUCUCGCGCCUUUCCGAGUCCGGCGGACGAAGUUGGCCAGCCCCACCCCCCAAGGCUAUAGCCCACCCGUUUUUGUGGCCGUUUUCCGCUGGACGAACUUGGCGCCCCGGCCUUCGGGCGGUUAUUUUUGGACGCGGCUGUCCGCGCGGCCUAU